AUUGAACGCUGGCGGCAUGAUUUACACAUGCAAGUCGAACGGUAACAGGCCGCAAGGUGCUGACGAGUGGCGAACGGGUGAGUAAUGCAUCGGAACGUGCCCAGUCGUGGGGGAUAACUACUCGAAAGAGUAGCUAAUACCGCAUACGAUCUAUGGAUGAAAGCGGGGGACCGUAAGGCCUCGCGCGAUUGGAGCGGCCGAUGUCAGAUUAGGUAGUUGGUGGGGUAAAGGCUCACCAAGCCAACGAUCUGUAGCUGGUCUGAGGGGACGACCAGCCACACUGGGACUGAGACACGGCCCAGACUCCUACGGGAGGCAGCAGUGGGGAAUUUUGGACAAUGGGCGCAAGCCUGAUCCAGCAAUGCCGCGUGCAGGAAGAAGGCCUUCGGGUUGUAAACUGCUUUUGUACGGAACGAAACGGCUCUGGUUAAUACCCGGGGCUAAUGACGGUACCGUAAGAAUAAGCACCGGCUAACUACGUG
RNAcentral lists this ribosomal RNA (482 nucleotides) under uncultured bacterium. Its description in RNAcentral is "partial 16S ribosomal RNA". It matches the Rfam family "Bacterial small subunit ribosomal RNA", at positions 30 to 507 of the family's 1533-position model. The record is from RNAcentral.